GAUGAACGCUGGCGGCGUGCCUAAUACAUGCGAGUCGAGCGAACGGACGAGAAGCUUGCUUCUCUGAUGUUAGCGGCGGACGGGUGAGUAACACGUGGAUAACCUACCUAUAAGACUGGGAUAACUUCGGGAAACCGGAGCUAAUACCGGAUAAUAUUUUGAACCGCAUGGUUCAAAAGUGAAAGACGGUCUUGCUGUCACUUAUAGAUGGAUCCGCGCUGCAUUAGCUAGUUGGUAAGGUAACGGCUUACCAAGGCAACGAUGCAUAGCCGACCUGAGAGGGUGAUCGGCCACACUGGAACUGAGACACGGUCCAGACUCCUACGGGAGGCAGCAGUAGGGAAUCUUCCGCAAUGGGCGAAAGCCUGACGGAGCAACGCCGCGUGAGUGAUGAAGGUCUUCGGAUCGUAAAACUCUGUUAUUAGGGAAGAACAUAUGUGUAAGUAACUGUGCACAUCUUGACGGUACCUAAUCAGAAAGCCACGGCUAACUACGUGCCAGCAGCCGCGGUAAUACGUAGGUGGCAAGCGUUAUCCGGAAUUAUUGGGCGUAAAGCGCGCGUAGGCGGUUUUUUAAGUCUGAUGUGAAAGCCCACGGCUCAACCGUGGAGGGUCAUUGGAAACUGGAAAACUUGAGUGCAGAAGAGGAAAGUGGAAUUCCAUGUGUAGCGGUGAAAUGCGCAGAGAUAUGGAGGAACACCAGUGGCGAAGGCGACUUUCUGGUCUGUAACUGACGCUGAUGUGCGAAAGCGUGGGGAUCAAACAGGAUUAGAUACCCUGGUAGUCCACGCCGUAAACGAUGAGUGCUAAGUGUUAGGGGGUUUCCGCCCCUUAGUGCUGCAGCUAACGCAUUAAGCACUCCGCCUGGGGAGUACGACCGCAAGGUUGAAACUCAAAGGAAUUGACGGGGACCCGCACAAGCGGUGGAGCAUGUGGUUUAAUUCGAAGCAACGCGAAGAACCUUACCAAAUCUUGACAUCCUUUGACAACUCUAGAGAUAGAGCCUUCCCCUUCGGGGGACAAAGUGACAGGUGGUGCAUGGUUGUCGUCAGCUCGUGUCGUGAGAUGUUGGGUUAAGUCCCGCAACGAGCGCAACCCUUAAGCUUAGUUGCCAUCAUUAAGUUGGGCACUCUAAGUUGACUGCCGGUGACAAACCGGAGGGAGGUGGGGAUGACGUCAAAUCAUCAUGCCCCUUAUGAUUUGGGCUACACACGUGCUACAAUGGACAAUACAAAGGGCAGCGAAACCGCGAGGUCAAGCAAAUCCCAUAAAGUUGUUCUCAGUUCGGAUUGUAGUCUGCAACUCGACUACAUGAAGCUGGAAUCGCUAGUAAUCGUAGAUCAGCAUGCUACGGUGAAUACGUUCCCGGGUCU
This 1372-nucleotide ribosomal RNA is filed under the name uncultured bacterium. Its description in RNAcentral is "bacterial SSU rRNA". It matches the Rfam family "Bacterial small subunit ribosomal RNA", at positions 28 to 1381 of the family's 1533-position model. The record is from RNAcentral.